Molecule: transfer RNA, 53 nt
Filed under: Rhopalomyia pomum
Lineage: Eukaryota; Metazoa; Arthropoda; Insecta; Diptera; Cecidomyiidae
Description: tRNA-Ser
Source: RNAcentral
UUUAUUUUAUCUUAAUUAUAAAGAAUUUGUUUUGAAAACAAAAUAUAUUAAAC